This 440-nucleotide ribosomal RNA is filed under the name [Candida] sp. NCAIM Y.01937. RNAcentral's name for it is "Candida sp. NCAIM Y.01937 partial small subunit ribosomal RNA". The record is from RNAcentral. Lineage: Eukaryota; Fungi; Ascomycota; Saccharomycetes; Saccharomycetales.
UAUAGGGCAAGUAAUACACAUUAAUGGUAUAAAGGAUACGUAGAAUGGUAUAUUAAAUUUUAUAUGUAAAAAUAUAUAAUUUAUAAAAAUACUAGGAUAAUUUUAAAUAUUAUAACCAUUAUAUUAGUAACAGUUAAAUGUGAUGAUCAAUAUAAGAGUAACAGUAUAUGAAAAUAUAUAAUAUAGAAUUAUCGACAUUGAGGUAUGAAAACUUGGUUAUCGAGUUGGAGUAGUCAACCAAUUAGUCCAAGUCGUAAACUAUGUGCAUUGAUACAAAUUAAUAAUAAUAAUUAUUUUUAUAUGUAUAUAAUUCCCCCAGAGGGGUAUAUUUAUAAGAAUAUUUUAUAUUAAAAAUUGUAGUAAAUUAAUACUAUAAUGCACCACCAGAGAAGUACUAUUAAAGAUAGAAACUCAAAACAAUAGACUGUGUGACCUUUUAA